GAACGCUGGCGGCGUGCCUAACACAUGCAAGUCGAACGGAGUUCUUGAGGAAAGCGGCUUCGGCCAAAUGACUUUUGAAUUUAGUGGCGGACGGGUGAGUAACGCGUGAGCAACCUGCCUUUCAGAGGGGGAUAACAUUUGGAAACAGAUGCUAAUACCGCAUAAGAUUACAGUACCGCAUGAUACAGUGAUCAAAGGAGCAAUCCGCUGAAAGAUGGGCUCGCGUCCGAUUAGAUAGUUGGUGGGGUAACGGCCUACCAAGUCGACGAUCAGUAGCCGGACUGAGAGGUUGAACGGCCACAUUGGGACUGAGAGACGGCCCAGACUCCUACGGGAGGCAGCAGUGGGGAAUAUUGCACAAUGGGGGGAACCCUGAUGCAGCGACGCCGCGUGAAGGAAGAAGGUAUUCGUAUUGUAAACUUCUGUCGCAGAUGACGAAAAGAUGACGGUAAUCUGCAAGAAAGCACCGGCUAACUACGUG
This 481-nucleotide ribosomal RNA is filed under the name uncultured bacterium. Its description in RNAcentral is "bacterial SSU rRNA". It matches the Rfam family "Bacterial small subunit ribosomal RNA", at positions 31 to 507 of the family's 1533-position model. The record is from RNAcentral.